CAUUUUCUUAUAUUAAUAUAUUAGUAUACCAACCUUCCAAGUUGAAAGACCCUUUAGGAUAUAAGU
RNAcentral lists this transfer RNA (66 nucleotides) under Runcina aurata. Its description in RNAcentral is "tRNA-Gly". Lineage: Eukaryota; Metazoa; Mollusca; Gastropoda; Runcinacea; Runcinidae. The record is from RNAcentral.